RNAcentral lists this ribosomal RNA (383 nucleotides) under uncultured bacterium. RNAcentral describes it as "bacterial SSU rRNA". It matches the Rfam family "Bacterial small subunit ribosomal RNA", at positions 107 to 507 of the family's 1533-position model. The record is from RNAcentral.
UGAGUAAUAUAUCGGAACGUGCCCAUCGGUGGGGGAUAACGCAGCGAAAGCUGUGCUAAUACCGCAUACGCCCUGAGGGGAAGCGGGGGAUCGAAAGACCUCGCGCGAUUAGAGCGGCCGAUGCCUGAUUAGCUUGUUGGUGGGGUAAAAGCCCACCAAGGCGACGAUCAGUAGCUGGUCUGAGAGGACGAUCAGCCACACUGGGACUGAGACACGGCCCAGACUCCUACGGGAGGCAGCAGUGGGGAAUAUUGCACCAAUGGGCGAAAGCCUGAUGCAGCAACGCCGCGUGAGGGAUGAAGGCCUUCGGGUUGUAAACCUCUUUUAGCAGGGAAGAAGCGAAAGUGACGGUACCUGCAGAAAAAGCACCGGCUAACUACGUG